This 206-nucleotide ribosomal RNA is filed under the name uncultured bacterium. RNAcentral's name for it is "partial 16S ribosomal RNA". It matches the Rfam family "Bacterial small subunit ribosomal RNA", at positions 1294 to 1500 of the family's 1533-position model. The record is from RNAcentral.
CGGAUUGUAGGCUGAAACUCGCCUACAUGAAGUCGGAAUUGCAGUAAUCGCGGAUCAGCAUGCCGCGGUGAAUACGUUCCCGGGCCUUGUACACACCGCCCGUCACACCAUGAGAGUUUGUAACACCCAAAGCCGGUGGGGUAACCUUUUGGAGCCAGCCGUCUAAGGUGGGACAGAUGAUUGGGGUGAAGUCGUAACAAGGUACC